UAGUCUAAUCCUCAUCAAAUUAAAAAUGUGUUGUACAAAUUAUUAACCUUAACCUCACAUCGUAAUGCCAUUUUCCUGAUGAAAAUCAGAAUUCUCCUUUAAAGUUAAUUCACUCUCAUUACCACAAAAAGACCCAGCAUUACCAGAAUCAUCAUUUCCAUUGCCAGCAUUUCCUCUAGGCUCACCCCACAAUGUCUGAGUCAAGCCAUUCAAAAACUUUUGGUAUUCUGUUUAAGGACCUGAGUAUCAGUAAAUUUGAAUAGCAAGACAUAAAAAAAAAAAAGAUGGUCCUCCAUGCAUUUAAUUCUUUCCUGAUGGAAGAGAAGAAUAAAAAAGAAAGAAAGAAAGAGAGAAAGGGAAGCAGUUGGAACCCCUCUCAGAUUUGAUCCCCCUAUCAAGUAAUUAUUUUGCUUUAAAAAUCCCUAACUAUUCUUUUUAUUAACAAAAUUAGAGAACUAAGUUUCAAAAGUAAGAUUCUUGACAACUAAAAAUAUUAUUCCAAGAAUAAUGAAACAUAAUUCAAGGUACCAUACAAAAAGAUCCAGAACAACCAUCUUGUCAAGCACUCAAUUCUCUCUUCAUGUGUUCCUAAUCAGGUACUUUAUUUCCAAGUUCUUCAUUUACUUUAUUGCCAUCUUCUUACGCUAGAAAUUUCUCAUAAUCCAUGACUCCCUCUUUACCUCCUUCCAUAUCAGAAACUCCAUUGUCUAGAUCUUCCACAACUUUCUUAUUAGCAUCUUCCUUCAAACAACUCUGAAACGCAUCACAAUUAAAGCACAAAAGUGCCAAUUAUAAAAUUCCACAGUUACGGUACAAUUCCAUAGAACUCACAAACAAAAACACCAAAUGAAAGAAAGGAAAGCCUAGCAAAUCACCGUUGUACCUUAUUUUCAUCCAAAUCACAAACCUCCUUCUCAAAUCAUAACCGACUCAUCAUUCUUACCAUCAAAAGCAACCAUCACUAUUUGCAGAAAAUGUCAUAAAGCUCAAACUCAAUCAUCCUUAUUCCAUCCACAUAACACAAAUUUAACUGAAGUCCUAAUUCACAGAAAAAUUAUCAGCAAACACUUCAUUUAUGAACACACACACAAACACACUAAUGCAUUAAUAUAGACACACAUACCAAUACAUUUUCCAUCCACAUUCAGCCACAUUUUUUACCAAGUUAAUUAAUAUACCAUGAAAAUCAAGAAAAAUAAUAAACAAAUACGAGAUGCCCAAAUUUAUAUGCAUUCACCUUGGCAAAUAAAUAUAUACAAAAUUUACUGAUUAUGUACCAGAGUAUCGCCUAAACUUGCCAAAGACUGACUGAGAGGCUCAUCCUUCAACACAACCACAGGAAGUCUACCAAAAUCCCAUCCAAGAACCCUGCAAAUAACCUGACCAAGAGCCCUAUGGGCCCUUUUUCUCUUUGUUCUCAGAAUUGCUAUGGCAUGCUGAACAAGGCCCAAACAACCCUUAAACAUUUUCCCUACUUUCACUCCCAUCCCUCCACAAACUAAGCAAUAAAAGUCCCCAGUUUCCUGGUUUUUCUCAUAAAAAUCCCUCAGUUCUCGGUGUUCCACAAACAAACCGAAAAAGAACUUGAAUUCGUCAGUUUCUUCAACGUCAUUAUCAUCACCGAAAGAAUCAUCUCCUUCAUCUUCUUCCUCGAAUUUGUUAUCUUCUUCACUAUCCAAAGCAGCGUUUUUGCCAAAGAACUCAUUACAACAUUUGACUAUCUUCUGCUGCAUUUGCAUUGUGGCAAUUUUGGCUUCAUGAAUACCUAGAGUGAAUUGGGCGGACGGACUCGGUUUGACCUUAAAAGAAGGCCAUCCAGAGCUAGAGUUAGGAGAAGAAGACGGUCGUGGAGGGUUGAUAGGCCAUUCAGGACCAGGGUCGGGUUGGCGGCUGGACCCAGAACCUGAAGGGGUACUGUUCUUGGCAUUUUGGUAUCCGUGCUUGUUUCCCUUGGUUUUCUUGAAGGAUGUGGGGUAAGAUACAUGGAGAUUUCUUGAUGGGUUGUUGUUACUGUUAUGAAAAGGUUUAGGCCUAAGACGAUUAGGGUUAGGAUUCAAAGCUGGAGGGCCUCUGUGCCAGAGAGAGUGAAGGUAAAUGACCUCAUCUCUGAGCCUCUGUUCAUAAGGCGUCAAGGGUUUUUCAUAGGGAUUCAUGGCCAAGAAAUUUGAUUUGGGUUUUGAUACAGAGGUCUGUUUCCGCCUUUGUAGUUUCUGAAAGUGAAAGCCAAAGCAACGGAAGAAACUGUGGCAGAUGAGGUAUCGAGCUUUUUAAGUGAUGUACU
Molecule: unclassified non-coding RNA, 2281 nt
Filed under: Hevea brasiliensis (rubber tree)
Lineage: Eukaryota; Viridiplantae; Streptophyta; Magnoliopsida; Malpighiales; Euphorbiaceae
Source: RNAcentral